GCAGUUACUGUUGGUCCUUGGUGGUCUCCCCAUGAAUACUCAUCACUGGCCUCACUGUUGCAUCUGUCUUGGCAUUCUCCCUAAAGUCAAUGAUGUAGCAAGUCCACGUGCUACAGAUGUAGCUCUGGUACAUAAGUGGCCCUGAGACAAGCUUGUAUCCCAGCGAGCAUCUUUGAAAUGGUCGGCUCAGUUUAACUCGGGUAGAGUAAGGGGUCAAAGUGAACAAAUCUAGCCAGAAGGACUUCAUUGAUGUGACAAUGUACAACUCCACCCAAAAGCUGUUGAUGGUGGUCCUCCAUCAGUAGAAUGGAGGCACCAUCCAGCCUGUGUCAGGUUCUGCAUGACAGAUGGUAGCUUCAAUUACAAGCUCUUAUUUCUGGAAACCAUUGGGUUGCCAGUACAACCAUAGGUUUUCUUCAUCACUGCAAAGAGGCAGAGGACGCCAAAUGAUCUGAGAUGACAAAAUUAUGACUUUGGGGGGGGGGGUUGUCUCUCAACAGCUUUUUGGUAUUAUUCUGGAAUUUACUCUUCCUUGUCUGCCCACUCAUCUUUCAUAAAGCAGAUCCAAUUCUUAAUGGUCUGUGACCUUGACCAAUGUUUUUAUUCCUGUACAGUUGGGACAAACUUCUUUUCCAUCAUAGGACGACUGCACUGUUGUGCCUUCAUAAGCUUCCUCUAUGGGGUGCCAUCCAUAGCUCAGGGCCAUGUGCAGUUUCCUGUGCCCUUACCAUCUGCCUCUUUGUCCCAAGAUAAAAAGGGAAAUGAAGGAAACGAAGCUUAAAUCUUGUUGUUGUUUAGAAAAAAAAAACAAACAAACAAAAAAAAAACUUUAAAGCCCCUUUAAUUUAAAAAAAAAAAAGAAAGAAAGAAAAAAAAAUGACGUUUGAAAGAAUCCUGGGAAGAACCAAAAUUGUUCUCAGUGACACCCAAAAUAAGAUGCUGUUUCUGUACUCUCUGCCACUGGCUUUUUCUAGGCUGCGGUUAAAGAGAUAACAGUCUUGCUCAACCUCAACCAGCUAUAGUGAGCUCCAGAGACAGAGGCUUCCCUCCCCAAGAAACGUGAAAGAGGACACAAUCACAUCAUGCCGUGGCUGGUACAAUAGACUCCUCCAUAACCUUCCUCUGGCAAAAUGGUAACAAGCCCAUGAGGUGCGAUGGCAAAGCUUCAUUUCUACCCUGUGGUCAUCUAUGCCAUCCCCCUGAAUUCAUUCUAUGUGGGAGAAGGUUUACAGAAGGGUAGCGGCAUGAAGGAGCCAUUGAGUGGAUGGAAAUUAUAGCAGUGGAUGCAGUGGUGUGUCUUAGCUUCACUGGGCAUCUGAGAUGGACAUAAGCAUCUAUGUAAACAUGGAUCCAGGUGAAGGAAAGGAGGCAGUGACUCUCUGGGAUACAGCUGAAAUCCCUUCUUCCAAGCCCUGGAGAUCCUGGCCGAGUGCUUCAGGUCAUUUGACCAUUGUGGACAAAUAUAUCAACAAAUGCCACUCUCUGGUUGCUUUGUUUGUGACACAGAGGUCUCUUUAAAGGUGAUGGUAUCCACAGCGCCUAUUCUGGGAUGGUAUUAGAAUCUAAACUUGCCUGUGGGUUUGGGGAAGACAAAUGACCUAGGCUGUGAGGAAGGCUCUGACACAAGGCCAAUCACUCUCUAGUGGCAUCAGUAUGAAACUGACAACUGCCCUCACCGUGGUACUCGCACCAGACUGAUCAACCUUCCCAGCUGUACCUUUCUGCAACCUGGGUUCUAUGGUGCUGAUGGGUUAGCUCCAUCUUGUACGGGCUUUGAUUGGUGGCUCUUUCCCAACGUUUUUUAUGGCCCAGUUUGUCACAGCCCCCAUGUCUAGCAUUAUCAAAGCUGCUGUCAUGGCUGUCUUCAAAUAUGUCACCCUCAGAAUG
RNAcentral lists this long non-coding RNA (1887 nucleotides) under Mus musculus (house mouse). RNAcentral's name for it is "long non-coding RNA chr4:40069100-40070987". Lineage: Eukaryota; Metazoa; Chordata; Mammalia; Rodentia; Muridae. The record is from RNAcentral.